GACGAACGCUGGCGGCGUGCCUAAUACAUGCAAGUAGAACGCACAGUUUAUACCGUAGCUUGCUACACCAUAGACUGUGAGUUGCGAACGGGUGAGUAACGCGUAGGUAACCUGCCUGGUAGCGGGGGAUAACUAUUGGAAACGAUAGCUAAUACCGCAUAAUAUUAAUUAUUGCAUGAUAAUUGAUUGAAAGAUGCAACUGCAUCACUACCAGAUGGACCUGCGUUGUAUUAGCUAGUAGGUGAGGUAACGGCUCACCUAGGCGACGAUACAUAGCCGACCUGAGAGGGUGAUCGGCCACACUGGGACUGAGACACGGCCCAGACUCCUACGGGAGGCAGCAGUAGGGAAUCUUCGGCAAUGGACGAAAGUCUGACCGAGCAACGCCGCGUGAGUGAAGAAGGUUUUCGGAUCGUAAAGCUCUGUUGUAAGAGAAGAACGGGUGUGAGAGUGGAAAGUUCACACUAUGACGGUAUCUUACCAGAAAGGGACGGCUAACUACGUG
Molecule: ribosomal RNA, 505 nt
Filed under: uncultured bacterium
Lineage: Bacteria
Description: partial 16S ribosomal RNA
Rfam family: Bacterial small subunit ribosomal RNA
Source: RNAcentral